Molecule: transfer RNA, 74 nt
Filed under: Spirochaetaceae bacterium
Lineage: Bacteria; Pseudomonadati; Spirochaetota; Spirochaetia; Spirochaetales; Spirochaetaceae
Description: tRNA-Val
Rfam family: tRNA
About the family: Transfer RNA (tRNA) molecules are approximately 80 nucleotides in length. Their secondary structure includes four short double-helical elements and three loops (D, anti-codon, and T loops).
Source: RNAcentral
GGGCGCUUAGCUCAGCUGGUUAGAGCGCCACGUUUACACCGUGGAAGUCGGAGGUUCGAAUCCCCCAGCGCCCA